This 251-nucleotide long non-coding RNA is filed under the name Dermacentor andersoni. Its description in RNAcentral is "uncharacterized LOC126518491". Lineage: Eukaryota; Metazoa; Arthropoda; Arachnida; Ixodida; Ixodidae. The record is from RNAcentral.
GACGUAUUCGACGCACAGAUCAAGGUAUUUCCUGGAAAGACCCAAGCAGAGGUGACACGGAUGGUGUGCAGUGCUGUAGACGACGACAGCGACCUAGUGUAUGAAGACUUCAUGGAGAAUUUCACGCCAGAUGUCAAAGCCAUCGUUUCAGCAGUUUUGCAGGAGUGCGAGAGGUCAGCGUGAAUAGCUGGCACGCCCGGUGGCCGCUGACGCAAGCCCAGGAGGAAGCUUGAUCACCGCCCUCUGCAAUA